Molecule: ribosomal RNA, 372 nt
Filed under: uncultured prokaryote
Description: bacterial SSU rRNA
Rfam family: Bacterial small subunit ribosomal RNA
Source: RNAcentral
UACGUAGGGUGCAAGCGUUAAUCGGAAUUACUGGGCGUAAAGCGUGCGCAGGCGGUCGUGCAAGACAGAUGUGAAAUCCCCGGGCUUAACCUGGGAACUGCAUUUGUGACUGUACGGCUGGAGUGCGGCAGAGGGGGAUGGAAUUCCGCGUGUAGCAGUGAAAUGCGUAGAUAUGCGGAGGAACACCGAUGGCGAAGGCAAUCCCCUGGGCCUGCACUGACGCUCAUGCACGAAAGCGUGGGGAGCAAACAGGAUUAGAUACCCUGGUAGUCCACGCCCUAAACGAUGUCAACUGGUUGUUGGACGGCUUGCUGUUCAGUAACGAAGCUAACGCGUGAAGUUGACCGCCUGGGGAGUACGGCCGCAAGGUUG